ACUGUCUUAAAAUACAAACAAAAAAAUAGUUUUAUUGGCUCUAGCCAAGCUCAUUCAUUUACAUUAUCAUCUAUAGAUGCAUUUUUACUACAACAGCAGAGUUGAACAGUUGAAACAAGGACUGCAUGGCCUGUGUAAAGCCUAAAAUAUUUGCUAUCUGACCCUUUACAGAAAGUUUGCCAACCCCUGCUCCAGACAAGCACUAUCCAACAGAACUUUUUGCAGCGAUGGAAAUGUUCUAUAUCUGUGCUGUCCAAUGCAGAAGUCGCUAGCCACAUGUAGCUAUUUGAGCACUUGAAAUAUGGUCAACAGUGACU
This 317-nucleotide long non-coding RNA is filed under the name Homo sapiens (human). RNAcentral describes it as "non-protein coding lnc-PCLAF-4:1". Lineage: Eukaryota; Metazoa; Chordata; Mammalia; Primates; Hominidae. The record is from RNAcentral.